RNAcentral lists this ribosomal RNA (448 nucleotides) under Salmonella enterica. RNAcentral describes it as "partial 23S ribosomal RNA". It matches the Rfam family "Bacterial large subunit ribosomal RNA", at positions 2202 to 2649 of the family's 2925-position model. Lineage: Bacteria; Pseudomonadati; Pseudomonadota; Gammaproteobacteria; Enterobacterales; Enterobacteriaceae. RNAcentral also lists the same sequence under 1 other name. The record is from RNAcentral.
ACCCUUUAAUGUUUGAUGUUCUAACGUGGACCCGUAAUCCGGGUUGCGGACAGUGUCUGGUGGGUAGUUUGACUGGGGCGGUCUCCUCCUAAAGAGUAACGGAGGAGCACGAAGGUUGGCUAAUCCUGGUCGGACAUCAGGAGGUUAGUGCAAUGGCAUAAGCCAGCUUGACUGCGAGCGUGACGGCGCGAGCAGGUGCGAAAGCAGGUCAUAGUGAUCCGGUGGUUCUGAAUGGAAGGGCCAUCGCUCAACGGAUAAAAGGUACUCCGGGGAUAACAGGCUGAUACCGCCCAAGAGUUCAUAUCGACGGCGGUGUUUGGCACCUCGAUGUCGGCUCAUCACAUCCUGGGGCUGAAGUAGGUCCCAAGGGUAUGGCUGUUCGCCAUUUAAAGUGGUACGCGAGCUGGGUUUAGAACGUCGUGAGACAGUUCGGUCCCUAUCUGCCGUG